CAGCUUUGUAUGUACAUAAAAAUGAUCACCGUAUCAUUAUACAUCAAUAUUAUAAACAUCAUGUAAAACGUUUGAGAGUCCUGACUAGGAAAAGGCGAAAAUGAACUGGUGGGUGGUGCAGAAAUGUGAGAUUUCCAUUUUCAAAGUGUAAAGAUGUAAUUUUAUUGGCCACGUAUAAUUUUGUAUUUCCCGUUUAUGACAACACAUACCAUAUCCACACACAGAACAAUUUACAGAAACAUCAACCCCUUACGAAACCGUUUCGGACAUUUUCCAUAAGAAAUUGUCAAAUUUUAAGUGUCAGCUAUGUACGGUAUUGUCUUCUGUCAUUCUUGUAGUAAAAAAAAAAAUCCCAUGAAAAAAUGUAAUGCUACAAGCCGCAAUGUUAUGACACAGCGGUCCUCUGAGGUCAAUUAUCACAGUGGUUUGGUGCACUAGCAGCAAUAAUAAUGACAAAGAGCCUUUCACGGCCUCGUCUGUUAGGAAUUGAUGUUUUCCCCCCGGUUAUUUCCCGAAUGAAUGACAAUCCAAAAUCACUCAAGUGCCCCGGCCAAACUACCUGUCACACAGCAGACUGUGAGUUUAUCUGCUGAAUGCUGACUAGAUGAAAGGUGCGGCGUGGUGCGACCUUCAGAAGUCUCUUCUUCGCUUCGUUGGCAAUCAACUCACAAAAUGUGGCAGAGACUGUGAAAACUGCAUGGAGCUUUUCCCUCGUGAAGGACAAUGGCGGUAAGAGCCACAAUCAUUCACAUGCAUCGACUUAUCUCUGUCCGUGAACACACACACACACACCCACACACCCACACGCACUCACACACAAACCCUGAGAAUAUUGACUUCAUCCAAUAAACUCCAAAUAUCUGGCGUCCAAACGAUCAAACAAUGGCUCCGCACCAAAGCGUAAUAUAUUCUUGCACAAGCGAGCGGUCUGACACUUUCCCAUGCCAAAAGUUCAAAUGUCAAGUUUUUAGAACCACCAUUCUCGGGCUCCAUGAGCAAGCCGGCGAGUGUCAUCAGGCUCCUCCCUGAAUACAUUGCGUCGCAUUCUUCCACUGUCACCCUCCUGCGCGUUCCCGUGUCCAAUUUCCGAGCAGCGAUUGGCCAAUUUUGUCAGGAUGAAUGUCCAUCCAAAGGAGUCAAUGAGCAUGAAAGUAUGAAUUAUAUAUGCAAUGGUUAUAUACAGUCUAUAUCAGGGUGGGCAAACUACGGCCCGCGGGCCGAAUCCGGCCCGUUGGUCUUUUUAAUCCGGCCCGCCGAAGGUUGGUCCACAAUU
Molecule: long non-coding RNA, 1273 nt
Organism: Hippocampus zosterae (dwarf seahorse)
Lineage: Eukaryota; Metazoa; Chordata; Actinopteri; Syngnathiformes; Syngnathidae
Exons: 2
Source: RefSeq, a predicted model, not a curated record